AGGACGAACGCUGGCGGCGUGCUUAACACAUGCAAGUCGAGCGGUAAGGCCUUUCGGGGUACACGAGCGGCGAACGGGUGAGUAACACGUGAGUAAUCUGCCCUUCACUCUGGGAUAAGCACUCGAAAGGGUGUCUAAUACCGGAUACGACCGUCCCUCGCAUGAGGUGGUGGUGGAAACUUUUGUGGGUGGGGGAUGUGCUCGCGGCCUAUCAGCUUGUUAGGUGGGGUAAUGGCCUACCAAGGCUUCG
This 250-nucleotide ribosomal RNA is filed under the name uncultured soil bacterium. RNAcentral describes it as "partial 16S ribosomal RNA". It matches the Rfam family "Bacterial small subunit ribosomal RNA", at positions 26 to 278 of the family's 1533-position model. The record is from RNAcentral.